CAACUGAGCUGAUUGCUAUGGCUCUUUGACACUAAGGAAAGAAAUGGGUUGUCUUCAAUAAGUUGUAUUGUUGAAGGUGUGCUGGCCCUUUUACUAAUCAUUCCCCCUGCUGUUUCAGGGUCUCUUGGCUCUGUUUGCUGUUUGUAGGCAGUACUAGUUUACCUGUCAAAUGGCUAGAGCCAAUACCCCUAAUAUUCCUGGCGCCUAUGUACCCCAGUGUAACGAGGGCCUGUACACCCCAAAGCAGUGAAACGACUCUACAGAAUACUGCUGUCCCUGAGCAACCAGAACAAGUCCCAAGCAACCAGAAGCUCCCAGAGAAGACUUCAAGACCCAGUGUUACUGAGGUAGCAGGACCUGUUAACCAAUACCCCCGUGGGUUGCCCUUAUGGGUUCCAAAGGCCUCUCAGAAUGUUGGGCCUCCUAUUGGUGGCAGCCCAGACAUAUCCACCCUUCUCCAGAAUCCACUGGUGGCCAGCAAGGUAAAGGAAACACAUCUCCCUCUGCUGCUGAGCAGCAAGAACCGGCCCCAUGGAUCAAGCAGAGUGUUGGGCCCCACCAGCUCCCAUGAUCCUGUUCUACCUGCAUCCAGCAUUAUUUUUCAGAACCAUAACGACUAUGAACGAGGCAGUGGUUUUCUCCAACACCCUCUACUCCCCAGGAGACACAGCCCAGCCCUCUGUUAGUGUUGUAUCCCACAAUAUCAGUAAACCUGUGCCUAACCAGCCUCUCCUUAGACCAAGUGCUGGAUCCAAAGGAGUGCAGUAUCCUAUCCUCAGACAUUGGCAAUUGAUGCAUGAAUGAUGGGCUUUAAGGUUCUACAUGACGUUCAUCCCCCCUUGGUGAUGCGCA
Molecule: non-coding RNA, 852 nt
Organism: Salmo salar (Atlantic salmon)
Lineage: Eukaryota; Metazoa; Chordata; Actinopteri; Salmoniformes; Salmonidae
Source: RefSeq, a predicted model, not a curated record